RNAcentral lists this ribosomal RNA (491 nucleotides) under uncultured bacterium. RNAcentral's name for it is "bacterial SSU rRNA". It matches the Rfam family "Bacterial small subunit ribosomal RNA", at positions 28 to 507 of the family's 1533-position model. The record is from RNAcentral.
GAUGAACGCUAGCGGCAGGCCUAACACAUGCAAGUCGAGGGGGUAACAUAGAAAAGCUUGCUUUUCUGAUGACGACCGGCGCACGGGUGCGUAACGCGUAUACAACCUACCUUUUAGCGGGGAAUAGCCCAGGGAAACUUGGAUUAAUGCCCCAUAGUAUAUGGACUUCUCCUGAAGUUUAUAUUAAACAUUUAUGGCUAUUAGAUGGGUAUGCGUCCUAUUAGUUAGUUGGUAAGGUAACGGCUUACCAAGGCAGCGAUAGGUAGGGGUCCUGAGAGGGAGAUCCCCACACUGGUACUGAGACACGGACCAGACUCCUACGGGAGGCAGCAGUGAGGAAUAUUGGACAAUGGGCGAGAGCCUGAUCCAGCCAUGCCGCGUGCAGGAAGACUCGCCCUAUGGGUUAGUAAACUGUCUUUUACAGAGGAAGAACCCACCCCACGUGUGGGGGUUUGACGGUACUCUGCGAAUAAGGAUCGGCUAACUCCGUG